RNAcentral lists this transfer RNA (63 nucleotides) under Mesargus serrata. RNAcentral describes it as "tRNA-Tyr". The record is from RNAcentral. Lineage: Eukaryota; Metazoa; Arthropoda; Insecta; Hemiptera; Cicadellidae.
AUUGAAGUGUCUGAUUUAAGUGUAAAAUUGUAAAUUUUAUUAAGGAUAUUUUUCCCUUCAAUA